This 232-nucleotide unclassified non-coding RNA is filed under the name Hevea brasiliensis (rubber tree). The record is from RNAcentral. Lineage: Eukaryota; Viridiplantae; Streptophyta; Magnoliopsida; Malpighiales; Euphorbiaceae.
GUGCACUAUGCACUUCCCUUCGAUGGUGUGUGCACUCUGCACAUCAAAGUGAUCUGACAAGAACAGCUCUUUGGCCCCAUGGAACUGUCUGCGACCACCAAUAGACUCCUCAGGUCGGUAAUACCAUCUAACUCUGACCUUCACAUUAUUCCGGUGAUCAGCCUCUAGCUUCUCUACUUUUGCCACGUAUGGAGGUUUAUCAGAAUCAGAUGGUCUCAUCAAUACACAAUCA